Molecule: transfer RNA, 86 nt
Filed under: Candidatus Omnitrophota bacterium
Lineage: Bacteria; Pseudomonadati; Candidatus Omnitrophota
Description: Candidatus Omnitrophica bacterium tRNA-Leu
Rfam family: tRNA
About the family: Transfer RNA (tRNA) molecules are approximately 80 nucleotides in length. Their secondary structure includes four short double-helical elements and three loops (D, anti-codon, and T loops).
Source: RNAcentral
GCUGGAGUGGUGGAAUGGCAUACACGCUGGUCUCAAAAACCAGUAGCCGAAAGGCUGUGUGGGUUCAACUCCCACCUCCAGCACCA